This 273-nucleotide ribosomal RNA is filed under the name uncultured bacterium. RNAcentral describes it as "partial 16S ribosomal RNA". It matches the Rfam family "Bacterial small subunit ribosomal RNA", at positions 524 to 796 of the family's 1533-position model. The record is from RNAcentral.
AACGUAGGAGGCGAGCGUUAUCCGGAUUUACUGGGUGUAAAGCGCGUGCAGGCGGUCGUGUAAGUGGUGCGUGAAAGCUCCCGGCUCAACCGGGAGAGGACGUGCCAAACUGCAGGGCUAGAGGCAGGUAGAGGCGUGUGGAAUUCCGGGUGUAGUGGUGAAAUGCGUAGAGAUCCGGAGGAACACCAGUGGCGAAGGCGACACGCUGGGCCUGGCCUGACGCUCAGACGCGAAAGCAUGGGGAGCGAACGGGAUUAGAUACCCCCGUAGUCC